GAUGAACGCUAGCGGCAGGCCUAACACAUGCAAGUCGAGGGAUAAGCCCUUCGGGGUGGAAACCGGCGCACGGGUGCGUAACGCGUAUGCAACCUACCUUUCACAGGGGUAUAGCCCGAAGAAAUUUGGAUUAAUACCCCAUAAUAUUGUUGGAUGGCAUCAUCUGGUAAUUAAAGUUACGAUGGUGAAAGAUGGGCAUGCGUCCUAUUAGCUAGUUGGAGUGGUAACGGCACCCCAAGGCUACGAUAGGUAGGGGUCCUGAGAGGGAGAUCCCCCACACUGGUACUGAGACAGGGACCAGACUCCUACGGGAGGCAGCAGUGAGGAAUAUUGGUCAAUGGUCGAAAGACUGAACCAGCCAUGCCGCGUGCAGGACAGACGGCCCUAGAGGUUGUAAACUGCUUUUAUAUGGGAAGAAUAAGGAGUACGAGUACUUUGA
This 439-nucleotide ribosomal RNA is filed under the name Capnocytophaga sp. oral taxon B29. RNAcentral describes it as "bacterial SSU rRNA". It matches the Rfam family "Bacterial small subunit ribosomal RNA", at positions 28 to 472 of the family's 1533-position model. The record is from RNAcentral. Lineage: Bacteria; Pseudomonadati; Bacteroidota; Flavobacteriia; Flavobacteriales; Flavobacteriaceae.